CCUUCCCCCUCCUCCCGGGCGGCCGAGGAUGGCUGCGGGCGCCGGGGCCGGGCGGGGAGGGGGCUGCUCGGCUCCGCUCCGCUCCGCCACGGGGACUCCCUCUUCGCGAGGGUGGGGAAAGGAAACGACGAGCUCCCUCACAGACUUCCACGCUUGAGCUUCCCGUACUUGACCUUAAUUUCAAGGAGAGCUGUCGUCGUUUUCCUCCGGACCAAAGGGAAAACGGGAGCAGGGCUCUGCUCAAACGGUUCCAGAAGCGAUUAAAGAUUCGAUGUGUC
This is a long non-coding RNA of Numida meleagris (helmeted guineafowl), 278 nucleotides long. RefSeq lists it as uncharacterized. Lineage: Eukaryota; Metazoa; Chordata; Aves; Galliformes; Numididae. The transcript is spliced from 2 exons. The record is from RefSeq and is a predicted model, not a curated record.